GAUUAAGCCAUGCAUGUGUAAGUAUGAACAAAUUCAGACCGUGAAACUGCGAACGGCUCAUUAAAUCAAUUAUAGUUUGUUUGAUGGUAGCUACUACUCGGAUAACUAUAGUAAUUCUAGAGAUAAUACGUGCAACAAACCCCAACUUCUGGAAGGGGUUAAUUUAUUAGGUAAAAGGUCAACGCGGGCUCUGUCUGUUGCUGCGAUGAUUCAUGAUACUCGACGGAUAGCAUGGCCAUCGUGCCAGCAACGCAUCAUUCAAAUUUCUAUCCUAUCAAGUUUCGAUAGUUGGCUAGUGGCCUACCAUGGUGGUGACAGUUGAAAGAGAAUUAGGGUUCGAUUUCGGAGAGGGAGCAUGAGAAAUGUCUACCAGAUUCAAGGAAGGCAGCAGACAC
This 395-nucleotide non-coding RNA is filed under the name Capsicum annuum. RNAcentral's name for it is "Eukaryotic small subunit ribosomal RNA". It matches the Rfam family "Eukaryotic small subunit ribosomal RNA", at positions 42 to 435 of the family's 1831-position model. The record is from Rfam by way of RNAcentral. Lineage: Eukaryota; Viridiplantae; Streptophyta; Magnoliopsida; Solanales; Solanaceae.